CCUACGGGCGGCAGCAGUGAGGAAUAUUGGUCAAUGGACGCAAGUCUGAACCAGCCAUGCCGCGUGCAGGAAGACGGCUCUAUGAGUUGUAAACUGCUUUUGUACGAGGGUAAAUCCCGAUACGUGUAUCGGGUUGAAAGUAUCGUACGAAUAAGGAUCGGCUAACUCCGUGCCAGCAGCCGCGGUAAUACGGAGGAUUCAAGCGUUAUCCGGAUUUAUUGGGUUUAAAGGGUGCGUAGGCGGAACAUUAAGUCAGCGGUAAAAUCGAGGGGCUCAACCCCUUUAAGCCGUUGAAACUGGUGAUCUUGAGUGGGCGAGAAGUAUGCGGAAUGCGUGGUGUAGCGGUGAAAUGCAUAGAUAUCACGCAGAACUCCGAUUGCGAAGGCAGCAUACCGGCGCCCGACUGACGCUGAGGCACGAAAGCGUGGGGAUCGAACAGGAUUAGAUACCCUUGUAGUC
RNAcentral lists this ribosomal RNA (459 nucleotides) under uncultured bacterium. RNAcentral's name for it is "partial 16S ribosomal RNA". It matches the Rfam family "Bacterial small subunit ribosomal RNA", at positions 338 to 795 of the family's 1533-position model. The record is from RNAcentral.